RNAcentral lists this non-coding RNA (67 nucleotides) under Pediococcus acidilactici. Its description in RNAcentral is "Fluoride sequence". It matches the Rfam family "Fluoride riboswitch aptamer (crcB RNA motif)". The record is from RNAcentral. RNAcentral also lists the same sequence under 1 other name. Lineage: Bacteria; Bacillati; Bacillota; Bacilli; Lactobacillales; Lactobacillaceae.
AACUAAAUAGGCGAUGACGUUCGCCGUAAAAAUAAUUAAACAUUAAUUUGAUGACGUCUAUUAUUUC